AAUUAGGAAAUAUUUAUUAUUUAGAUGGUAACAUUUAUUUUCAUUAAUUUAAUUCUGCUUAACACAACAUGAUCAUUUAAAGUUAAGUUGUGUCAAGUAAAUUUAUCAUAACCUUACAGAAAAUCAGAAACAGUGCUACAUUUCACUCAAAUGUUUUAAUAUUUUUAUUUAGCAUUUCAGAGCUUUAAAUGUUAUGAAAAUAUGGGAACUGAUGAGAGAAUACACUUUUCUUUUUAAGAGAUGCAUCUAUUCUUUUAAGUGAUCAGGGUCCCAUUUAGUCAAUUAUUUUUUCCAUAUGGCUCAGAAAUGUAUGUCUUUGUUGGUCAUGUAUUUGAUUGACCUUUUAUGAAAGGCAGACAGUUGACCAGGGGUUGCCUCAUUUUAGAAUCUCCUCAGAAAUGACUAAAUGUUUUCCAGAUGAACAUACUGUGGACCAAGUGGGGAGCUAGGAAUUAGAAAUCAUUGCCUCUAAGCCAGGGGAAUUUGUGGACUAUUUCUGUUGGGACUCAGUGACCUAAAGGAAUUGACCCACUGAGCAAUUUCCUUCACUCUCCACAGUGGUCUCACUCUGUCACCCAGGCUGGAGUGCAUUGGCACAAGCAUGGCUUGUUGAAGCCUUGAACUCCUGGGCUCAAGUGAUCCUUCUGCUUCAGCCAAGACUACAGGACUAUGGAGACCCACAUUAUCUGCCAUCUGUUUUAGAAAUGCAGCCCACAUCAUCCCGACAUCUAAAUGAUGAUGUUCUUAUCACUUUGUUCUCACAUCUGCCUGCUGAAAUAUAAGAAAAGCUUUAUUUUGCUGUAUCUCAGUAUCAUUUGUAAAUCUCCUUCCUCAAACUUCCCCCUUUCUGGAUAAAUUCCGACCUUUCAAAAAUGCCUAACUCUAUUCUUUUACUUUUUGUCUGAAGGAAAUAAUUUGGCAACUUCAUUGGUCACCAUUGAAUGCAAAUUGUAGCAUUUCAUAAAUUUGCAUUUCAAGGAACAUGACAGUGAUUAAUAAAAAGUUUGGAAAUCUUAGAGGGUUGUUCUUGAAACAAGAACAAUCCUUCCAUGCUUCCUUCCUCAAUCUAAGGUUUUGUGAUGCUCUCUGAUGAGCAAAAAAUCACCUUACCACGUCUGACAGAGUGACUCAGAAGGGAUUACUUUUUGUUAUUUUUAAUGCCAUAACUUAAUUCUUUUAUUUAAAUGCUAAUUGAUUAUCCUAGCACAAUCCUCUAGUGGCAGAAUCAAUUUCAGUAAUGAUGUUAAUGGCUGCAAUAUGAUCAACUGAAACCUCCACCACUUGGUACAAAAGGAGUGGAAAUGAUAGGCAGCUCAUUAAUCAUUUAUUCCAGAGAUGAAUGUGUUCAGUUGCUGAUAGGGUGCUGUAGGUGAAUGCUGCCAAAAUGAGAAAUGUCAAUUGUCAGGCCUCAUGCAUAAUAACUGUGGAGCUAUUUUUAAGCCUCUUUGAAGAUUAAAGUUAUGCCCUUUUUCCCUACAGUUCCGUCACAUAUGCUUGGCAAAUUUUGGUCUCUGAGAAUUCAUUUUCACUAUGCGCAGAUGUCUCUGCUUGAGAAAAAAUAUACAGCUCAAAAUCUAGCAUAUUUGAAAAGUUAUCUAGAAUCUGCAGAGGUCCACACACUGGAAGAGGACUCUAAAUGAAUACACAAGAAGUAAAAGAUGCAAACCUGGAGAUAUACUGAGUAACUAACUGUUUUGGCCAAUUUUUCCCAUGAGAUAUGUUUUAUCAGGAUGAUACACGUUUUUAAUUUCCCAGGUCCCCAUAGGGAACAUACAUUUUCUGUAUUCAUAUAACAUUUUCUGAAGACAGAAGUAACAAAAUUCAAUAAAAUAUAUUUUAAAACAAUGAAAUGUUUCUAAAAGAGUGGUUGUUCCCAGAUGACCUUG
Long non-coding RNA from Symphalangus syndactylus (siamang), 1886 nucleotides. RefSeq lists it as uncharacterized. The record is from RefSeq and is a predicted model, not a curated record. Lineage: Eukaryota; Metazoa; Chordata; Mammalia; Primates; Hylobatidae.